This 1371-nucleotide small RNA is filed under the name Arabidopsis thaliana (thale cress). RNAcentral describes it as "ATSL302910". The record is from RNAcentral. Lineage: Eukaryota; Viridiplantae; Streptophyta; Magnoliopsida; Brassicales; Brassicaceae.
CGUCUUUUUCUAUUUUCGCCUAACAGAUGGAUGCCACCACCCCCAAAUACUCCAAGGCUAGGUACGAUGAAAUCAUCAAGGAGGUGUCUUCAUACCUGAAGAAGGUCGGAUACAACCCUGACAAAAUCCCAUUUGUGCCAAUCUCUGGAUUCGAGGGAGACAACAUGAUUGAGAGGUCAACCAACCUUGACUGGUACAAGGGACCAACUCUUCUUGAGGCUCUUGACCAGAUCAACGAGCCCAAGAGGCCAUCAGACAAGCCCCUUCGUCUUCCACUUCAGGAUGUCUACAAGAUUGGUGGUAUUGGAACGGUGCCAGUGGGACGUGUUGAGACUGGUAUGAUCAAGCCUGGUAUGGUUGUUACCUUUGCUCCCACAGGGUUGACCACUGAGGUUAAGUCUGUUGAGAUGCACCACGAGUCUCUUCUUGAGGCACUUCCCGGUGACAAUGUUGGAUUCAAUGUCAAGAAUGUUGCUGUCAAGGAUCUUAAGAGAGGAUACGUUGCCUCUAACUCCAAGGAUGAUCCAGCUAAGGGUGCCGCCAACUUCACCUCCCAGGUCAUCAUCAUGAACCACCCUGGUCAGAUUGGUAACGGUUACGCCCCAGUUCUCGAUUGCCACACCUCUCACAUUGCAGUCAAGUUCUCUGAGAUCUUGACCAAGAUUGACAGGCGUUCUGGUAAGGAGAUUGAGAAGGAGCCCAAGUUUUUGAAGAAUGGUGACGCUGGUAUGGUUAAGAUGACCCCAACCAAGCCCAUGGUUGUUGAGACUUUCUCCGAGUACCCACCUUUGGGACGUUUCGCUGUUAGGGACAUGAGGCAGACCGUUGCUGUUGGUGUUAUUAAGAGCGUGGACAAGAAGGACCCAACUGGAGCCAAGGUCACCAAGGCUGCAGUGAAGAAGGGUGCCAAAUGAUGAGACUUUCGUUAUGAUCGACUCUCUUAUGGUUUUCUUUGGUUCUUAAAACUUUGAUGGCGUUUGAGCCUUUUUCUUUUUUCUCUUUAUUUCUGUGACUUUCUCUCUCCCUCCUUUUUGGAUAUCUCUGAGACUUUUUAUUAUGGUUUUCAAUUAUGCAGUUUCCGGAUAAUUUUGCUUGAAACUUAUUUAGGAGUUGUGUUACAAAGUUGCUGUCUUUCUUUGUUCUUGUUUAAACAAUCAUUCAGAGAUCAACCCAACCAUACUUAGCGUUUUAAGAUCUAUGUAAGAGAUAGGGUUCUAUAGUUUCGUUAGAAUUAACUUGUGCUUAGUGUUUUCUGACAAUUACUUCAUACGAACUUUUUAAAAAGACUUAGGUUCUCAAUCAACAAACAGAAAUAGUAAUUUAUCAAUAAAAAAUGCUGAGAACUAAAAACCAAAAGAAAUGGAUAAGGCC